UCAUCUCAAAUCUCUAUUCAUAUCAUCUCUCUACAACAAUCUUUUGUGAGAUAUCCACAACCAUCUCUAAAAAGAGAGACCUAAGAACAUAAUUGCCAAAGAGUUUUACGUUGCCCUUCGCAGGCACCAUGCAUCAAUCACCGUGCGUCUCGGCGACCUCCGCCACCGCCGUCGACGGCCAUUACCGGAGAAUCCGAGAGAAGGUCUCCGAAUUCCGACGAGGAGAGAGAGAGAAAGAGGACGUACUCCCCACAAGAAGAGAUGAGAAAUUGAGUGCUAAGCUUUAAUGGUGGGGUGUGUCUUUUGUAGCCUAAGUUUGAAGGGAUCUUCUCCGUAUAUGCUUCAUGCACAUCUGUUUUGCUUUUUCCAUUUUAGCUUUUGCUGCAUUAUUGGCCAUGGCAAUUGUGGGAUAUGCAUCAGCUUUUCGUUUCUUUAUUAAGCUUUUUAUUUAUCUAUUCAUAAGUGGUUUGCACCUUUUUUGAUUGGUUGAGUGGAGUAAUUAAUUAGCUUUGAUGACUCAAGUAGUGAUUAAAAGCAUUAAAACUAUGUUAAUCUCUUUAAAUGGAUAAAUCUCAAUCGUUGGACACUUAUAUUUGUAUAAUAGUUCACAUAUUAUUCGCAUAUAAAGUGGUAUACUUUAAUUCGGAGACACUUAUUAUUCAUAUAUUUAUGCAUAUCAGAUUUAUUCUGAGUUGAUGUGCAUACAUAAAUAACAAUCUUAAAUGUCCAUUUUAAGGAGUGUGUCAUUAAGAUGAUCGUGACUUAUGAUAAUCUCAAAGCCAAUCUGAUCAAUGGGCGAGAGAAACUUGAGGCGCAAAUUAUUGCUCCUUUGAAAUUAUUUUAGCUCAAAAAAUUGACUAGUUUCCGAGUAAAAUAU
Molecule: long non-coding RNA, 877 nt
Filed under: Ananas comosus (pineapple)
Lineage: Eukaryota; Viridiplantae; Streptophyta; Magnoliopsida; Poales; Bromeliaceae
Description: long non-coding RNA (ACOM_LNC020451)
Source: RNAcentral